GUGGGGAAUCUUCCACAAUGGACGAAAGUCUGAUGGAGCAACGCCGCGUGAGUGAAGAAGGGUUUCGGCUCGUAAAGCUCUGUUGUCGGGGACGAAUGUGCAGUAUUUGAAUAAAGUACUGUAAUGACGGUACCUGACGAGGAAGCCACGGCUAACUACGUGCCAGCAGCCGCGGUAAUACGUAGGUGGCAAGCGUUGUCCGGAAUUAUUGGGCGUAAAGGGAGCGCAGGCGGGAAGGUAAGUCGGUCUUAAAAGUGCGGGGCUCAACCCCGUGAUGGGAUCGAAACUAUCUUUCUUGAGUGCAGGAGAGGAAAGUGGAAUUCCUAGUGUAGCGGUGAAAUGCGUAGAUAUUAGGAGGAACACCAGUGGCGAAGGCGACUUUCUGGACUGUAACUGACGCUGAGGCUCGAAAGCCAGGGGAGCGAACGGGAUUAGAAACCCCAGUAGUCC
Molecule: ribosomal RNA, 450 nt
Filed under: uncultured bacterium
Lineage: Bacteria
Description: partial 16S ribosomal RNA
Rfam family: Bacterial small subunit ribosomal RNA
Source: RNAcentral